Molecule: long non-coding RNA, 1621 nt
Filed under: Gossypium barbadense (sea-island cotton)
Lineage: Eukaryota; Viridiplantae; Streptophyta; Magnoliopsida; Malvales; Malvaceae
Description: long non-coding RNA (GBAR_LNC017219)
Source: RNAcentral
UUGUCUUACCCAUUUCUCUACCGUAAGACAUUUUCCCUUUCUCCUUUCUCUUCUAAGCAAAUUUUCUUCCACAUCCUCAUCUCCGUUCAUCACCUCCCCUCACCAUCUCCGUCCGUCAUCUCCGUCGACCGUCGACCUUACUUCAAUUUUGAAGAAACCCUAAAAAAUUGGCAGGCACAGUCAAAAAAAGAAAACCCAGAAGCAGUGGUUCUCUCUCUGUCAUCAACAGGUAUUUUUUCUGUUAAUUUUCACUGAUUUGAUUGGUGGAUCGGGUCUGGUUCUUGCUUUUUUCUUGCUAGAUGGUAGCUUGUGCAUUGUUGCAUAACAUCAAGCCUAUUGAUGAAAUCCUUAAGGGAUAUAUUAGGGUAAUAAGAAUGGCGAAUUAGGAAAUCUGGGCUCAAUGUUAAAGUUUUACAUUUCCUUAAGAAUGGCGACAAAUCUUUGUAAUGUUUAAGCACUUGACCAUUUUCAAUUUAGAGUUUAGAAUUUUGUUCACGUUCUUAGUUCAGUUCAUCUGUUUCUAAAAGAGAACUUGAAGACAUGAGAUGGGUGAUUCAAACGUUCACCUGUGAACUCAUUGAAAGUAAUCUGAAUGUAAGGAUAGACAAAACUAAGCAAUCCUUGGGAGUAUUUUUCGAUAUAGCCUCAAAAUUGGUAUGGGAAAUACUGCUUGAAAACUGCCCAAACAAACAUUUAAAGUGGCAAAUAUGAAGCCUAGGUGAGGAAUCAUGUCUGUAGGGAUUUCUUAUUGGUUGCUCAUUACAGUUAGUCUGAAAGCAAGAGAGAAAUAUCAAUUCCAUUGACAUGGUUACUGCUCUAUUUCUUGCCAACUGGAAUAGCCACCCUUUUAGAAAGAAAGAGAAAACUGAUGAAAUAUUAAUGCAUAUUGGAUAUUCAUGAAUAUUGAUUAACUAUUGCAGAUAUAAUGGUGCAUAAUGGUAUUUGUUUCUGUAAAUUACUAAUUUGCUUCAAUUUGUUUCGGUGUUAAAUUGUGUACUUGUUAUUCGUCUGAAGGUGUCUUGAUUCUUUCUCUAUUUAUGAAGUUUAUUUAGAAUAGCUUACUUGUCCAAUGCCUCAAGGAACUUCAACUUUCUGAUUUCAAAAUAAAAUAAAUCUUUAUUUUUUGAUCUAUAUAUAGUUAUAUGUUAGAUUGGGAUCCCUAUACCAAUAUAAGUGCAUGCAGACCCACCCUUCAUUUUCUCCAUUACUUUUUUUAUGAUGUGGAUCGAGAGCUACGCCUAGGGGGAUCUGCGGUGUGGCGGAGCUAAGCUACCCAAAGAUUGUAUUUAUAGAGGAAUGAAUGGAGAAAAUUUUGGUGUAGAGUAGUCCGUGAACCCUUAAUAUGCUUUGGGUAGUGUCGGGUUUUGAGAUUAUUGUAAAUAUCUACUAUAUUGAUGUAAAAUUAAAAUAAUUUUAUACACUUUACAAUUUAUACUAUUAAUAUUUUAGCAUCCUGUUUUAUGGUACAUUAAUAUAGAUAAUCGUGUAAAAUUUGAAGUAAAUUAAUAUUAUCUACUAUAUGGAAAAGAAAAAUAACUUCAAUCGUAUAUACCAUACUUAAAUAUAUCCAAUCAAAAACUAUAUGCAUUAUAUUGAUGCUGUAAGAUUUGCUAAAAUAGAG